This 112-nucleotide Y RNA is filed under the name Aotus nancymaae (Ma's night monkey). RNAcentral describes it as "Y RNA (ENSANAG00000001134.1)". It matches the Rfam family "Y RNA". From Rfam's summary of the family: Y RNAs are components of the Ro ribonucleoprotein particle (Ro RNP), in association with Ro60 and La proteins. The Y RNAs and Ro60 and La proteins are well conserved, but the function of the Ro RNP is not known. In humans the RNA component can be one of four small RNAs -- hY1, hY3, hY4 and hY5. Lineage: Eukaryota; Metazoa; Chordata; Mammalia; Primates; Aotidae. The record is from Rfam by way of RNAcentral.
GGCUGGUCCAAAGGUAGUGAGUUAUCUCAAUUAAUUGUUCACAGUCAGUUACAGAUCGAACUCCUUGUUCUACUCUUUCCCCCUUCUCACUACUGCACUUGACUAGUCUUAA